RNAcentral lists this ribosomal RNA (502 nucleotides) under uncultured bacterium. RNAcentral's name for it is "partial 16S ribosomal RNA". It matches the Rfam family "Bacterial small subunit ribosomal RNA", at positions 28 to 507 of the family's 1533-position model. The record is from RNAcentral.
GACGAACGCUGGCGGCGUGCUUAACACAUGCGAGUCGAACGGUGAAGGGGUCUGCUUUUGUGGGCCCUGGAUGAGUGGCGAACGGGUGAGUAACACGUGAGUAACCUGCCCCCUUCUUCUGGAUAACCGCAUGAAAGUGUGGCUAAUACGGGAUAUUCUGGGUCUGUCGCAUGAUGGGUCUGGGAAAGAUUGCGCCUUUGGGUGUUUUUGGUGGGGGAUGGGCUCGCGGCCUAUCAGCUUGUUGGUGGGGUGAUGGCCUACCAAGGCGGUGACGGGUAGCCGGCCGGAGAGGGUGGACGGUCACACUGGGACUGAGACACGGCCCAGACUCCUACGGGAGGCAGCAGUGGGGAAUAUUGCACAAUGGGCGCAAGCCUGAUGCAGCGACGCCGCGUGAGGGAUGGAGGCCUUCGGGUUGUAAACCUCUUUCGCCAGUGAAGCAGGCCUGCUCCUUGUGGGUGGGUUGACGGUAGCUGGAUAAGAAGCGCCGGCUAACUACGUG